ACUCCUACGGGAGGCAGCAGUGGGGAAUUUUGGACAAUGGGGGAAAGCCUGAUCCAGCCAUGCCCCGUGAGUGAAGAAGGCCUUCGGGUUGUAAAGCUCUUUUAGCCGGAACGAAAGAUUCGCAAUGAAUAAUUGUGAUUUCUGACGGUACCGACUGAGACAGCACCGGCUGACUACCUGCCGGCAACCGCGGUAAUACGUAGGGUGCGAGCGUUAAUCGGAAUUACUGGGCGUAAAGGGUGCGCAUGCGGUUUUGUAAGUCAGAUGUGAAAUCCCCGGGCUUAACCUGGGAAUUGCGUUUGAUACUAUAACACUAGAGUGCAAGAGAGGGGAUUGGAAUUCCCUGUGUAACAGUGAAAUGCGUAAAGAUGUGGAAGAACACCGAUGGCCAAAGCAGCUCCCUGGGUUGACACUGACGCUCAUGCCCGAAAGCGUGGGGAGCAAACCGGAUUAGAUACCCUUGUAGUC
This 468-nucleotide ribosomal RNA is filed under the name uncultured bacterium. Its description in RNAcentral is "bacterial SSU rRNA". It matches the Rfam family "Bacterial small subunit ribosomal RNA", at positions 335 to 795 of the family's 1533-position model. The record is from RNAcentral.